This is a non-coding RNA of Pelobates cultripes (western spadefoot toad), 1030 nucleotides long. The record is from the annotation of a GenBank genome assembly. Lineage: Eukaryota; Metazoa; Chordata; Amphibia; Anura; Pelobatidae.
CUUGUUUAUGCACCCUGCCUAAUCUUUGGUGUAGGGCCUGAACAUAGGCAGUCAUACUACCAUGCUGCAUCUGGAGGGUUUGGGGAAAAUAGAGGCCUGUCUUUGGGGCACAUCCAAACAGGAUCUCAAAAGGGGAUAGGCCAUGUCUGGAAUUGGGGGUGAAUCUCCUAGAAAAGAGUGCUAGGGGAAGGCAUUCAGUCCGGGGCUUCCCUGUGUCUUGCAUGGCUUUUGCAAUCUUGUUCUUUAAGGUGCCAUUUGCCAUUUCUACUUUCCCACUACUCUGGGGGUGAUAGGGGGUGUGGAAGGCCUGACUGAUCCCUAAGGCUUUCAUAAUUUCUUGCAUUAUUUCCCCAGUGAAAUGGCUACCUGUGUCACUUUCAAUCACUUCAGGUACUCCAUAUCUACAUACCAGUUCCUCCAGAAGCUUACUUGCUGUGAUCUUCGUUGUGGUUUUCAACACUGGGUAGGCCUCAGGGCAACCUGAAAAGAGAUCAAUGCACACCAACACAUAUUCAUACAGUCCUACCUUAGGUAGUUGAAUAUAGUCUAUCUGCAGUCUUUGAAACGGGUAAAGUGGCCUUGGUGUGCUUACUUGGUGUUUUGACAGCCUGUCCUGGAUUGUUUCUAGCACAAGUCAUGCAAGCUUGGGUGUGUUUAGCUGCUACAACAGUAAAUCUGGGUGCUACCCAAUGGGUGUUUACUAUGCUGUUCAUGUGCAUCUUGGAUAGAUGUGUAGGUCCAUGGGCAAUCUGGGCCAUCAUGGAGUACAACACUCGUGGCAAACAGUCUUUUACCUUUCCUCCACAUUCUGUCAUUAUCCGGUUCUGCAUCUUGUUUCCUCCAGAGGUCACGUUCUUCCUUUCUUGCCUGUCUUUGUAAGCUCAACAGUAUAUUGUAGUCAACGGCGUCAUCUGUAAGAACAACUUGUAGGAAGAUAUUACCUGUAGAGGCAGGGUGUAUUAGCCGCGAGGCAAACAAGGCAUUUGCCUUGGGCGGCAUUUUUCAGGGGGCGGCAAAACGCCGACCCCCA